CCUACGGGGGGCAGCAGUGAGGAAUAUUGGUCAAUGGCCGGAAGGCUGAACCAGCCAUGCCGCGUGAAGGUCAGUGCCCUAUGGGCGUUAAACUUCUUUUGUGCGGGAGCAAUAAUGGUCACGUGUGGCCAGACGAGAGUACCGUACGAAUAAGCAUCGGCUAACUCCGUGCCAGCAGCCGCGGUAAUACGGGGGAUGCAAGCGUUAUCCGGAUUUAUUGGGUUUAAAGGGUGCGUAGGCUGUGAGGUAAGUCAGCGGUGAAAUGCCCCCGCUCAACGGGGUGAAGUGCCAUUGAUACUGCCUGGCUGGAGUGCGGAUGACGUAGGAGGAAUGUGUGGUGUAGCGGUGAAAUGCAUAGAUAUCACACAGAACACCGAUUGCGAAGGCAUCUCACGAAUCCGCGAUUGACGCUGAUGCACGAAAGCGUGGGUAUCAAACAGGAUUAGAUACCCCAGUAGUC
This 460-nucleotide ribosomal RNA is filed under the name uncultured bacterium. RNAcentral describes it as "partial 16S ribosomal RNA". It matches the Rfam family "Bacterial small subunit ribosomal RNA", at positions 338 to 795 of the family's 1533-position model. The record is from RNAcentral.